GAUGAACGCUGGCGGCGUGCCUAAUACAUGCAAGUCGAGCGAACGGACGAGAAGCUUGCUUCUCUGAUGUUAGCGGCGGACGGGUGAGUAACACGUGGAUAACCUACCUAUAAGACUGGGAUAACUUCGGGAAACCGGAGCUAAUACCGGAUGAUAUUUUGAACCGCAUGGUUCAAAAGUGAAAGACGGUCUUGCUGUCACUUAUAGAUGGAUCCGCGCUGCAUUAGCUAGUUGGUAAGGUAACGGCUUACCAAGGCAACGAUGCAUAGCCGACCUGAGAGGGUGAUCGGCGACACUGGAACUGAGACACGGUCCAGACUCCUACGGGAGGCAGCAGUAGGGAAUCUUCCGCAAUGGGCGAAAGCCUGACGGAGCAACGCCGCGUGAGUGAUGAAGGUCUUCGGAUCGUAAAACUCUGUUAUUAGGGAAGAACAGAUGUGUAAGUAACUGUGCACAGCGUGACGGUACCUAAUCAGAAAGCCACGGCUAACUACGUG
This 497-nucleotide ribosomal RNA is filed under the name uncultured bacterium. RNAcentral describes it as "partial 16S ribosomal RNA". It matches the Rfam family "Bacterial small subunit ribosomal RNA", at positions 28 to 507 of the family's 1533-position model. The record is from RNAcentral.